Molecule: long non-coding RNA, 184 nt
Organism: Xiphias gladius (swordfish)
Lineage: Eukaryota; Metazoa; Chordata; Actinopteri; Istiophoriformes; Xiphiidae
Exons: 3
Source: RefSeq, a predicted model, not a curated record
CAUGGUCUCGUCAGCUUGUUGCUGUUUUUGGUCUGGAUAAAAGGUCUAAUUGAUGGGAGUGAUGUCACGCAGACACCAAUACUGUGGAAAGACAAAGGCAAAGAGAAAUUCUCAGCCACAAAACCUGAUGCUCAGAGUGGGACGUUGACAGUGAAGAAUCUGGUGCCAGAAGAUAAAGGCUUGU